This 433-nucleotide ribosomal RNA is filed under the name uncultured bacterium. Its description in RNAcentral is "partial 16S ribosomal RNA". It matches the Rfam family "Bacterial small subunit ribosomal RNA", at positions 29 to 507 of the family's 1533-position model. The record is from RNAcentral.
AACGAACGCUGGCGGCAUGCCUAACACAUGCCAGUCGAACGAGACCUUCGGGUCUAGUGGCGCACGGGUGCGUAACGCGUGGGAACCUGCCCUUAGGUUCGGAAUAACUCCCCGAAAGGGGUGCUAAUACCGGAUAAUGUCUUCGGACCAAAGAUUUAUCGCCUUUGGAUGGGCCCGCGUUGGAUUAGCUAGUUGGUAGGGUAAAAGCCUACCAAGGCGACGAUCCAUAGCUGGUCUGAGAGGAUGAUCAGCCACACUGGGACUGAGACACGGCCCAGACUCCUACGGGAGGCAGCAGUGGGGAAUAUUGGACAAUGGGCGAAAGCCUUAUCCAGCAAUGCCGCGUGAGUGAUGAAGGCCUUAGGGUUGUAAAGCUCUUUUACCCGGGAUGAUAAUGACAGUACCGGGAGAAUAAGCUCCGGCUAACUCCGUG